Non-coding RNA from Oryza sativa Japonica Group (Japanese rice), 977 nucleotides. Lineage: Eukaryota; Viridiplantae; Streptophyta; Magnoliopsida; Poales; Poaceae. The record is from RefSeq and is a predicted model, not a curated record.
GAACCAUUCCGUGUGCAAAUACGGCGAAGCCUACGUCAAGUCGUCAACUGGUAGUAUCGUGUACUGGAGAAGCGAAUGGGGAAGCGUCAGCAGCAGCGGCGGCUCGUCCGCUUCGCCGUCGCCGCCGCCGUCGUUGUCGCGGCGGCCCUCAUCCUGACCGCUUCGGCCAAGAAGUCCGGAGAUGUCACGGAGCUUCAGAUCGGUGUGAAGUACAAGCCAGAGUCAUGCACCCUGCAAGCUCACAAAGGAGACAAAAUCAAAGUGCAUUAUCGUGGGUCACUCACUGAUGGAUCAGUGUUUGAUUCUAGCUAUGACAGAGGUGACCCCUUUGAAUUUACUCUUGGAAACGGCCAAGUGAUAAAAGGUUGGGACCAAGGGUUACUAGGUAUGUGUGUCGGUGAAAAGAGGAAGCUAAAGAUACCUGCAAAGAUGGGUUAUGGGGAGAGAGGCUCCCCACCGAAGAUUCCAGGUGGAGCAACACUAAUCUUUGACACGGAGCUUAUCGCCGUCAAUGGAAAGACAACCGGUGGUGCUAGCAAUAGUGAGCUCUAAGGUCGUCUUUGAUGUUCCACACAACGAAGAGUUAGCUUGUGUAGCGCCUCCUCAAAACAGCGGUUCAGUGGUCCUUUUAAGAGUUCAGUCAAAAAAGGAUGCUGUUUCCUUCAUGUUCAUCGUGUUACUUCGAAGUUCAAAAAUCUGAAAAAUCUGCCUUGUCGCAAUGGUCUUGGAGUCUUCAACGUAUUUGCACUGCAGCUGUUAGCAAAGAUCAUCAGAUCCUCGGGUGAAAUGAGCGUGGAAUUUACAUGUAACUUAGUACUACAUUCAUCCUAAAAUAUAGCAACUUUUAACUAUGCACUAUUUCCAUUACAUAUUAUAAGUCGUUUUGACUUUGGUCAAAGUCAAACUAUUCCAAGUUCAAGUUUGUAUACAAAUACAGUAACACUUACAAUACCAAAUUAGUUUUAUCAAAUCUAUAA